Molecule: long non-coding RNA, 3010 nt
Organism: Equus asinus (donkey)
Lineage: Eukaryota; Metazoa; Chordata; Mammalia; Perissodactyla; Equidae
Source: Ensembl
UGCAAUUCUGAGCCGGGCUGCCUGGGUUCACGUCUUGGACCUGCUAUUUUCUAGCUGUGUGAACUUGGCGACGGUGUUUGACUUUAUCGUGCUUCAAUUUCCUCAUCUAUAAAAUGGGGUUAAUAUCUACCUUGUAGGCUUGUUGUGAGGAUUAAAUGAGUCAACAUAAAUACAGUUUUUAAAACAAUGACUGGUGUAUUGUAAGCACCUAAUGAAUGUUAGCUACAAUGAAGAAAAUGACAAUACUUAUAAAGUACCUACCAGAGCUCCUAGUGAUAAUUAAUACUCAAAAAUAUUGGUAGCUGUCAAAUGUCAAGGAUGUCCACCAUCCAGACCCGUUGGAAUCACGGUCUAUUUACUCAUGAAAACAAAGAGGCUCCGAGAAGUCAAGAAAUGUGCCCAAGAUCGCCCAGCCAGAACAAAAACCCAGGUCUCAUGACUCAGACCAGAUUCUGUCCCCUGCACCAAGCUGAGGAGCUAGAGACUGAAGGCAGAGCACACUGAUCCAUGUCAAACAGCGGCUCGGCCUCCUCCCGCCCUUGUCUCCCCUUAGCUUUCAGGGAGUCCUCUCCCCAAGGAAAUGUCUUCUUGAUGCUACCGCUGCUUCUGUUUCAACUCGACUUCUGUCAGAGGGCCAGAGGAAAAAGCCAGAGCCCGAGCGAAAUAUGCCAAGUCAGGGAUGGUACCAUGCUGUCCCAGGGGGGAAAAGAGGCAGGACUGUCCUGCUCCCUCCUCCUACCUUCCCCUGGGAGACAGGGGGGUUCUCAGCUCCAUGCUAAUGCCUCCAGACAAAAUAGUUAGGGAUUUCCUUGCCAAGUGAUGAACCGAAAAAACAAACCCACACCAUACACAUACCCUACAUACCAGCCAUUCCUCGGAUGGUUGGCUUUGCAAGUGAUUGGCCACAGACUCCUCUGGCUCUCCAGGGGCAGAUGUCUAUCUGAGAGAGCAGGGAUGGAGACCGGGGGUGGAGGAAGUGGAGGAGGACCUGUGCUCCAGUUGCUGUCCCAGAGUUUAGAAACAGGACUGAGAUCUCUGCAAGUAUGUCUGUCACCAUUUUUCAUCCUCAUCAUGCAAGCCAUACACUGGAAUCCAGGCAUUACCAGCCUCACUUUUUAGAGGCUCCAUCCUGAGGCUGGCUCUGCUUGUGGUCAGAAGAGUCUUCUUCACUCAUCGCUGAUGUGGACAGAAAGGUUGAUGCCUCCAGCAGAUGUUUCCUCCAAGCUCCUUGGCCAGACCAGGAAAACAGGAAUGCCCUAUCUAUUAGCAUCUCACGGAACUACACUGCCCCCUGUGGCCAAAACCAGCCAGGAUGCAUAACAACAAGGACAACAAACUUGCCUACAAAGAGCCUUCCUUCCCAGGACCCAGGAAUAGCCCGUGAGCAGCAGAACUGCUUUGUCAGGAUCCAUCUACUCAGCAAAAAUGGGUCCCUCCAGGAUGCAAACCUGCAAGUGGGGCUGUCAGGUUGCUUCAUGGUACCCAAACAAAAUGCCCCAUCCAUGGGGUGAGCUGAUGGAGAGCUGGUGGGCGUGAAGAACCAGGCCCUGAGGCCUGAAGGAUUUGCUCAUCUCCUCUGCUUUCCUGUCCCCUCCCUCCUUUUGGAUGAAGUCCUGAUUCUGCAGAACACCAUGGGCCCUGCCGAGAGGCCUCUGCCUCUACUUGUCCCUCCAGUUUCAGGCCUCUUCGUGGUCCCCUGUCCACCGCCUCCUUCCUGCCUGCAUGCUCAGGCCCCAGACUAACCACUCCCAUUCUUCGAGAGCCUGCCCCUGCCCCCUCCUCCCUGAGAACCCAUCCCCGGCCGUCUCCCUCCGUGAUGCCCUGCGCCCUCCCAGCCUUUAGCCCAGCGGUGGGGCAACUUGCAUUGUCCUCACUUCCCUUGCCGGAGACUGCGUUCUCCAGGAAGGUCUGAGGUCUUGAAAGGGAAGGACUGUGCCUUUUAUUCUCUUUCCGUCUUCCCUCAAGCCCACGGAGUCCAGUCUGCCUCUCCCUUCCUGCUGCCCCGUGAACGCCCCUGCGACCUCAGGGUGAUGGGAACACAGGACAGAGGCCCUGGCUCAGGGCCCCUUCUUGCUCCAGGCUGCCCCAAGAUCCGGGCCACCACUAGAACAUGGCCAGCCUGCUGGGGAGACCGGAAAGCAUUUCUCCAGCAUUUGGUUCUGGGCUUCAUUGAAUCAAACUCUUCCUUCUAAAAAUAAGUCAUAGAGUCUCCUGAGGGAGAGGCCCAAGCAGGCAGGCAGCUCCUGAUGGAGCCGCCCGUGCUGGGGCCUGUCACCUGCUCCCAGGUGGCAGCCCCAGGGGCAGCUCUGCCCCCGCCCCCAGGUCAGCCCACAGCCCAGAGGGUGGGCGUGGGGGGCUCUCACCUGGGGAGUUCAGGCGGCAAACUGCUGCCAUCUUGUCCUGUUCAGGGCGGAGAAAGUGCAAACACACACAUGGUUAAGUUCUCCGAGGCAUUAGAGUCGCCCUUGAGCACUGGAGUUUCAGGCUCAGGGUAGAGCUGUGAUCUGAAAGAAAAAGACCCUAAACCAGGAUUUUGGAGAUGAUGGGUGAGAAUGAAGCCAAGACAGGUUCUCUGUCACCCACAUGUUAAAUAGCAAGCUCCUCGGCCGGGGUCUCGUUAGUGACCCUCAGGACCCCUCCCCCCACGCACACGUGGACUCAUCAUCCUCCCUCUUCCCAACUGCCCCCAGCCUGUCCCAGCCUCUGCCACACGCACACGCUGCUCCCUCUGUUCCGGGGUCCUUCUCCCCAUCUCUGCCUAAUGUCUAACCUAUCUGGCCAGGCUCAGACAGGUUCUCCAGAGACUGUUGGUUAAAACAUGAGCUUUGGUAACAAACUGGAGUGUGAGUCUCUGCUUUGCCACUCACUAGCUGGGUGACCUUAACGUAGUGGUUGGGAGAUCACAGUUCUGCUAGCUGCGUGGCCUUGGGCAAGUUACCUAACCUCUCUGUGCCUCAACAUUGUCAUCUAUAAAAUGAAGCUAAUAAAAGUGCCUAUGUGUUGUGCUUUC